This 253-nucleotide ribosomal RNA is filed under the name uncultured bacterium. RNAcentral describes it as "partial 16S ribosomal RNA". It matches the Rfam family "Bacterial small subunit ribosomal RNA", at positions 524 to 776 of the family's 1533-position model. The record is from RNAcentral.
UACGAAGGGGGCUAGCGUUGCUCGGAAUCACUGGGCGUAAAGCGCACGUAGGUGGAUCGCUAAGUCAGGGGUGAAAUCCUGGAGCUCAACCCCAGAACUGCCUUUGAUACUGGCAAUCUCGAGUCCGGGAGAGGUGAGUGGAACUGCGAGUGUAGAGGUGAAAUUCGUAGAUAUUCGCAAGAACACCAGUGGCGAAGGCGGCUCACUGGCCCGGUACUGACGCUGAGGUGCGAAAGCGUGGGGAGCAAACAGG